RNAcentral lists this ribosomal RNA (253 nucleotides) under uncultured bacterium. Its description in RNAcentral is "partial 16S ribosomal RNA". It matches the Rfam family "Bacterial small subunit ribosomal RNA", at positions 524 to 776 of the family's 1533-position model. The record is from RNAcentral.
UACGGGGGGGGCAAGCGUUGUUCGGAUUUACUGGGCGUAAAGAGCGCGCAGGCGGUCGUUCAAGUCGCGUGUGAAAGCCCCCGGCUCAACUGGGGAGGGUCACGCGAUACUGAUCGACUCGAAGGCAGGAGAGGGUAGUGGAAUUCCCGGUGUAGUGGUGAAAUGCGCAGAUAUCGGGAAGAACACCCGUGGCGAAGGCGGCUCUCUGGGACGGUACUGACGCUGAGACGCGAAAGCGUGGGGAGCGAACAGG